This 726-nucleotide ribosomal RNA is filed under the name uncultured Lysobacteraceae bacterium. RNAcentral's name for it is "bacterial SSU rRNA". It matches the Rfam family "Bacterial small subunit ribosomal RNA", at positions 66 to 784 of the family's 1533-position model. Lineage: Bacteria; Pseudomonadati; Pseudomonadota; Gammaproteobacteria; Lysobacterales; Lysobacteraceae. The record is from RNAcentral.
GUAGCACAGAAGAGCUUGCUCUUUGGGUGACGAGUGGCGGAUGGGUGAGGAAUAUAUCGGAAUCUACCCAAUCGUGGGGGAUAACGUAGGGAAACUUACGCUAAUACCGCAUACGAUCUGAGGAUGAAAGCGGCGGACCGCAAGGCGUCGCGCGAUUGGAUGAGCCGAUAUCCGAUUAGCUAGUUGGUGAGGUAAUGGCCCACCAAGGCAACGAUCGGUAGCUGGUCUGAGAGGAUGAUCAGCCACACUGGAACUGAGACACGGUCCAGACUCCUACGGGAGGCAGCAGUGGGGAAUAUUGGACAAUGGGCGCAAGCCUGAUCCAGCCAUGCCGCGUGUGUGAAGAAGGCCUUCGGGUUGUAAAGCACUUUUGUUAGGGAAGAAAAGCCGUUGGUUAAUACCCGACGGUGAUGACGGUACCUAAAGAAUAAGCACCGGCUAACUUCGUGCCAGCAGCCGCGGUAAUACGAAGGGUGCAAGCGUUACUCGGAAUUACUGGGCGUAAAGCGUGCGUAGGUGGUUUGUUAAGUCAGAUGUGAAAGCCCCGGGCUCAACCUGGGAAUUGCAUUUGAUACUGGCAGACUAGAGUGCGGUAGAGGAGAGUGGAAUUCCCGGUGUAGCAGUGAAAUGCGUAGAGAUCGGGAGGAACAUCAGUUGCGAAGGCGGCUCUCUGGACCAGCACUGACACUGAGGCACGAAAGCGUGGGGAGCAAACAGGAUUAGAUA